GGCAGUUCUUGGGUGAUGCACCCUGGAAUUGGGCUCUCUCUUCUCUGGUUCCAGGUGUGUCACCCGAGAACCACA
Myotis davidii is the source of this 75-nucleotide non-coding RNA. Lineage: Eukaryota; Metazoa; Chordata; Mammalia; Chiroptera; Vespertilionidae. The record is from Rfam.